RNAcentral lists this ribosomal RNA (2906 nucleotides) under Escherichia coli. RNAcentral describes it as "23S ribosomal RNA". It matches the Rfam family "Bacterial large subunit ribosomal RNA". The record is from RNAcentral. Lineage: Bacteria; Pseudomonadati; Pseudomonadota; Gammaproteobacteria; Enterobacterales; Enterobacteriaceae.
GGUUAAGCGACUAAGCGUACACGGUGGAUGCCCUGGCAGUCAGAGGCGAUGAAGGACGUGCUAAUCUGCGAUAAGCGUCGGUAAGGUGAUAUGAACCGUUAUAACCGGCGAUUUCCGAAUGGGGAAACCCAGUGUGAUUCGUCACACUAUCAUUAACUGAAUCCAUAGGUUAAUGAGGCGAACCGGGGGAACUGAAACAUCUAAGUACCCCGAGGAAAAGAAAUCAACCGAGAUUCCCCCAGUAGCGGCGAGCGAACGGGGAGCAGCCCAGAGCCUGAAUCAGUGUGUGUGUUAGUGGAAGCGUCUGGAAAGGCGUGCGAUACAGGGUGACAGCCCCGUACACAAAAAUGCACAUGCUGUGAGCUCGAUGAGUAGGGCGGGACACGUGGUAUCCUGUCUGAAUAUGGGGGGACCAUCCUCCAAGGCUAAAUACUCCUGACUGACCGAUAGUGAACCAGUACCGUGAGGGAAAGGCGAAAAGAACCCCGGCGAGGGGAGUGAAAAAGAACCUGAAACCGUGUACGUACAAGCAGUGGGAGCACAGAGCAAUCUGUGUGACUGCGUACCUUUUGUAUAAUGGGUCAGCGACUUAUAUUCUGUAGCAAGGUUAACCGAAUAGGGGAGCCGAAGGGAAACCGAGUCUUAACUGGGCGUUAAGUUGCAGGGUAUAGACCCGAAACCCGGUGAUCUAGCCAUGGGCAGGUUGAAGGUUGGGUAACACUAACUGGAGGACCGAACCGACUAAUGUUGAAAAAUUAGCGGAUGACUUGUGGCUGGGGGUGAAAGGCCAAUCAAACCGGGAGAUAGCUGGUUCUCCCCGAAAGCUAUUUAGGUAGCGCCUCGUGAAUUCAUCUCCGGGGGUAGAGCACUGUUUCGGCAAGGGGGUCAUCCCGACUUACCAACCCGAUGCAAACUGCGAAUACCGGAGAAUGUUAUCACGGGAGACACACGGCGGGUGCUAACGUCCGUCGUGAAGAGGGAAACAACCCAGACCGCCAGCUAAGGUCCCAAAGUCAUGGUUAAGUGGGAAACGAUGUGGGAAGGCCCAGACAGCCAGGAUGUUGGCUUAGAAGCAGCCAUCAUUUAAAGAAAGCGUAAUAGCUCACUGGUCGAGUCGGCCUGCGCGGAAGAUGUAACGGGGCUAAACCAUGCACCGAAGCUGCGGCAGCGACGCUUAUGCGUUGUUGGGUAGGGGAGCGUUCUGUAAGCCUGCGAAGGUGUGCUGUGAGGCAUGCUGGAGGUAUCAGAAGUGCGAAUGCUGACAUAAGUAACGAUAAAGCGGGUGAAAAGCCCGCUCGCCGGAAGACCAAGGGUUCCUGUCCAACGUUAAUCGGGGCAGGGUGAGUCGACCCCUAAGGCGAGGCCGAAAGGCGUAGUCGAUGGGAAACAGGUUAAUAUUCCUGUACUUGGUGUUACUGCGAAGGGGGGACGGAGAAGGCUAUGUUGGCCGGGCGACGGUUGUCCCGGUUUAAGCGUGUAGGCUGGUUUUCCAGGCAAAUCCGGAAAAUCAAGGCUGAGGCGUGAUGACGAGGCACUACGGUGCUGAAGCAACAAAUGCCCUGCUUCCAGGAAAAGCCUCUAAGCAUCAGGUAACAUCAAAUCGUACCCCAAACCGACACAGGUGGUCAGGUAGAGAAUACCAAGGCGCUUGAGAGAACUCGGGUGAAGGAACUAGGCAAAAUGGUGCCGUAACUUCGGGAGAAGGCACGCUGAUAUGUAGGUGAAGUCCCUCGCGGAUGGAGCUGAAAUCAGUCGAAGAUACCAGCUGGCUGCAACUGUUUAUUAAAAACACAGCACUGUGCAAACACGAAAGUGGACGUAUACGGUGUGACGCCUGCCCGGUGCCGGAAGGUUAAUUGAUGGGGUCAGCGCAAGCGAAGCUCUUGAUCGAAGCCCCGGUAAACGGCGGCCGUAACUAUAACGGUCCUAAGGUAGCGAAAUUCCUUGUCGGGUAAGUUCCGACCUGCACGAAUGGCGUAAUGAUGGCCAGGCUGUCUCCACCCGAGACUCAGUGAAAUUGAACUCGCUGUGAAGAUGCAGUGUACCCGCGGCAAGACGGAAAGACCCCGUGAACCUUUACUAUAGCUUGACACUGAACAUUGAGCCUUGAUGUGUAGGAUAGGUGGGAGGCUUUGAAGUGUGGACGCCAGUCUGCAUGGAGCCGACCUUGAAAUACCACCCUUUAAUGUUUGAUGUUCUAACGUUGACCCGUAAUCCGGGUUGCGGACAGUGUCUGGUGGGUAGUUUGACUGGGGCGGUCUCCUCCUAAAGAGUAACGGAGGAGCACGAAGGUUGGCUAAUCCUGGUCGGACAUCAGGAGGUUAGUGCAAUGGCAUAAGCCAGCUUGACUGCGAGCGUGACGGCGCGAGCAGGUGCGAAAGCAGGUCAUAGUGAUCCGGUGGUUCUGAAUGGAAGGGCCAUCGCUCAACGGAUAAAAGGUACUCCGGGGAUAACAGGCUGAUACCGCCCAAGAGUUCAUAUCGACGGCGGUGUUUGGCACCUCGAUGUCGGCUCAUCACAUCCUGGGGCUGAAGUAGGUCCCAAGGGUAUGGCUGUUCGCCAUUUAAAGUGGUACGCGAGCUGGGUUUAGAACGUCGUGAGACAGUUCGGUCCCUAUCUGCCGUGGGCGCUGGAGAACUGAGGGGGGCUGCUCCUAGUACGAGAGGACCGGAGUGGACGCAUCACUGGUGUUCGGGUUGUCAUGCCAAUGGCACUGCCCGGUAGCUAAAUGCGGAAGAGAUAAGUGCUGAAAGCAUCUAAGCACGAAACUUGCCCCGAGAUGAGUUCUCCCUGACUCCUUGAGAGUCCUGAAGGAACGUUGAAGACGACGACGUUGAUAGGCCGGGUGUGUAAGCGCAGCGAUGCGUUGAGCUAACCGGUACUAAUGAACCGUGAGGCUUAACCUU